RNAcentral lists this non-coding RNA (31 nucleotides) under Mus musculus (house mouse). The record is from RNAcentral. Lineage: Eukaryota; Metazoa; Chordata; Mammalia; Rodentia; Muridae.
UGAAUGCCAUUUAAAUUAGAUUUUUUUCUUG